Molecule: long non-coding RNA, 1029 nt
Organism: Diprion similis
Lineage: Eukaryota; Metazoa; Arthropoda; Insecta; Hymenoptera; Diprionidae
Exons: 3
Source: RefSeq, a predicted model, not a curated record
UUCGAGUGCGAAAUGAGUAAAUUAUCGACCAUCCAAACUGAUCAGAGAUAAGUAUUAAUUGAUAAUAUUAGGUACUGUACACAUCAUGCAAUCAAACAGCAGUAGUUGUUUUGUUAGGUAUGUCGUGACUUAUAAAUAAAAUCUUGUUCGUUUUCAUGCGAGGAUUUCAGUGCUCACUACAAAGAUACAGAGACAAUAUGUAUCUACGUCGUUGAAUCCUAGUUCCGAUCUCAAGGCCUGGAUUACGCAAUAGACGAGUGCUACCAGGAAGAGGGCGAAAGCGAAGCGCCGAGGGUAGAACAAAGCAACUCUCAUUUUGCAGUUAUCUAACUACACGCAUUGAAUCUAUGGGGUGAAAACCAGGAGAAACUUAGCGCCGAUGAUUGGACUGCUCGGAAACGUUCAGUGCGCCGUCGUCGUGAUGGUUUGACGAUGUGAGUUCAGGCAAAGAGGUGAGAAUUACGAAGAAUGGGGUGGAACAGGCUGAGAAACCUGAAAGUUGGCGAAAUGGCACUGGGUUGAACAUUAUCGCACAUUUCCAAGAUCUGGACGUUUUCUUAAUACAGAUGUCUUUCAGACUCCAGAAGUCUUCGCCAAUCGCCAGUGCCUCACCAAACGUUCUAAAGAGACAGGGUGGAGUAUCAACCCUUCGAAGAGCCGAGGACCGAUCGAUAAAACUCCGAAUGCUGUUUAUGAGGUUGGUAGACAUGACUUAGAUUCGAUGCCUGGUUGUUUUCCCGCCGUCGCAAGUAGCGAAUUGAAAAAGCGGGUAGUUUUUGAUUGAGAAUUACACUUUUUUAAACCAUUCGUCGCGUUCUCAUUAUUAAUACUUAUUUUUCUAAGAGCCACUACACUAGCCUCGGGGUAGAUUUUUGGACGCCAAAUCCAAUUCUGCAGGUCGUCUAAAAACUGUAUGCAAGUUUCUUUGUAAGUUAAAUUGAUUGUUAGGAAAAACACAGUUAGAGCCAGUUUUGUAUUGACUGCAGGUAUAAUUAUCUUUCGACAAAAACGUACUGCGACGAAUUGAAA